This is a long non-coding RNA of Rosa chinensis, 1948 nucleotides long. RefSeq lists it as uncharacterized. The transcript has 4 exons. NCBI's taxonomy places the organism in Eukaryota, Viridiplantae, Streptophyta, Magnoliopsida, Rosales, Rosaceae. The record is from RefSeq and is a predicted model, not a curated record.
AGGUACAUUCUCGAUUCUCAACAAAUACUUUCCCCAGCUGGGACCUUAUUAGCCACAAUGGAGAAAUCAAUACCCUUAGAGGAAAUGUUAACUGGAUGAAGGCACGUGAGGGACUACUUAAGUGUACUAACUUGGUUUAUCAAAAAAUGAGUUAAAGAAGCUGUUACCAAUUGUGGAUGCCAGUUCAUCCGAUUCUGCUUCUCAAAAGAUUUUACUAUUCAUAAGGCACACGACAUACUUCUGUUAUGACGCCUCCUAAGAUUCUUUUGGAUGCCUUAAGAAAGGCAUUCUUGACCAUAGAAGCAGUAUGCUUGAUGCAGCUGCUAUCAAGAGGUUUCUGGUGAGGAACAUUGUUGAGCAAGCUGCUGUUAGGGAUGUCCAGGAGGCUUAUGUUUAUGAAGCCUACACUCUUCCUAAGCUGUAUGCAAAGAUGCAGUACUCUGUUUCCUGUGCUAUCCACUCUCACGUUGUGAGGGUUUGAUCUAGGGAGAAGAGGAGGAGCCGUGAGGUCCCUCAGCGUUUCAGGUGCCGGGUAUGUUUGAAGUUUUGUUUGCCAUCGAAGUGUCUGCUCUUGUAUCUAUAAGCAAUUGCCAUUCAAGUGUCUGCUUUUGUAUCUAUGAGCAAUUUAGUUUGAGGUUCAAAGUGGGAUUCGACGCUGAUUCACUGAUUUGGUGUGUGGAAGUAAGCAUUACACAUUGUUGUUAAUAGCUGAAUACUUUUAUGAGCAGCAAACCUGAUACCUAAAGUGGUUCAUAUACUAGGUUUAAGAUUGUUUCGCGUGCCUUUUUUUCUCUGGCUACUGCCAAUACCUGCAUAUAUUAUUUUUGAUAGAAGUAGCAAGAGAGUUGGUGAUACUCUUUUUGGGACAAAUGACUUAGGGUGGGGGUUAUCAUAUCUUCUAAGAUUUUUUCCCUUUAGUACUAGUCAUCUUGUUGCUUGGUGCAUGCUUUGUGAGUUUCUACGGUGAAAUGUAGUUUGCCAUUUUCCUUGUGGUUCUCAUCAUUAUGGUGAUGAACUUUAGGGUGUAGUUUUCCUACUUUGCAUGAUCUACUUGGACUUUUUUUCCUUUCUUUUCUAUCCUUAUAUUUUUUUGUUCUUAUUGAAUUCAGAGCUUGGGAAGUGCCUGACAAAUGGUUUUUGUCUGAAUCAGUAAUCUAAUACAGGGAUUUUUAUUUAUUUAUUUUUAAAUGUCUAUGCUUGUUAUUUUGUGUCCGGGUGUUUUAUUUGCCUAUAUGAGGAUAUAUUUGAAGCAUGGUGUUCAUAUUUUCAAACUACAAAUCAGUUUCCGUAUAAGAACAUCUUUCCCUCUUCCCAAUACGAACUCAUUUUCCCUUUGUUAGAUGGUGACUUUAUGGAAGUAGAAUUUGAUAUAAAUUGGUUUGUUGUAGACUGUAGUUAGAUAGAACGUACUUCUCAUUGAAAAAACGUAAUGCAAAGGGAAACUUCUCAUUUGGAUAAGAACCAUUAAUUAAUUUAGUAAAGUAACCAAGUUCUACUAGUAAAAACUAUUUGUGCGUUUUUUCCCUUAUUCGUGUUCUUACACUAACCUAAACCUUUCCAUUUCAUUUUGUAUCAGGAGGAUCAGCCUAGGCCUAGCGCACCAGGUGGACCUGGUCAGGCUCCACGCCCUGCCGCUGGAGUGGCAACUGCCCGUCCAUGAAAAGUCACUGUUUCUGUGGUUCUAUUGUUGAGGAUGAUUAGACUUCUGAGGCUAUUUACUUUGGUUGUUGCCUUGCAUUAUUACCAUUUUGAUUUACAAUGCGUCUUCUUCUCUGGUUAUUACUUCUGUAAUAGUGUCAAUUUAUUUCAUACUAUAUAUAAUUUUGAGUAAGGCUAGAUUUUGCUGACCAUUUUGUAGUAGAUGUAGUAAUAUCAUGAUGAAUUGUGAACAAAUUAUACUGCAUGUAGUUAUUGCAGUAGUAGUAUCUUCUACACUAGCCUUAAAGUA